RNAcentral lists this ribosomal RNA (497 nucleotides) under uncultured bacterium. RNAcentral describes it as "partial 16S ribosomal RNA". It matches the Rfam family "Bacterial small subunit ribosomal RNA", at positions 28 to 507 of the family's 1533-position model. The record is from RNAcentral.
GACGAACGCUGGCGGCGUGCCUAAUACAUGCAAGUUGAGCGAUGAAGAUUGGUGCUUGCACCAAUUUGAAGAGCAGCGAACGGGUGAGUAACGCGUGGGGAAUCUGCCUUUGAGCGGGGGACAACAUUUGGAAACGAAUGCUAAUACCGCAUAAUAACUUUAAACAUAAGUUUUAAGUUUGAAAGAUGCAAUUGCAUCACUCAAAGAUGAUCCCGCGUUGUAUUAGCUAGUUGGUGAGGUAAAGGCUCACCAAGGCGAUGAUACAUAGCCGGCCUGAGAGGGUGAUCGGCCACAUUGGGACUGAGACACGGCCCAAACUCCUACGGGAGGCAGCAGUAGGGAAUCUUCGGCAAUGGACGAAAGUCUGACCGAGCAACGCCGCGUGAGUGAAGAAGGUUUUCGGAUCGUAAAACUCUGUUGGUAGAGAAGAACGUUGGUGAGAGUGGAAAGCUCAUCAAGUGACGGUAACUACCCAGAAAGGGACGGCUAACUACGUG